RNAcentral lists this long non-coding RNA (212 nucleotides) under Mytilus galloprovincialis (Mediterranean mussel). The record is from RNAcentral. Lineage: Eukaryota; Metazoa; Mollusca; Bivalvia; Mytilida; Mytilidae.
AAAAUUGAAAUAAUACAAGACUAACAAAGGCCAGAGGCUCCUGACUUGGGACAGGCGCAAAAAUGCGGCGGGGUUAAACAUGUUUGUGAGAUCUAAACCCUCCCCCUAUACCUCUAGCCAAUGUAGAAAAGUAAACGCAUAACAAUACGCACAUUAAAAUUCAGUUCAAGAGAAGUUCGAGUCUGAUGUCAGAAGAUGUAACCAAAGAAAAC